UUCUUGUUCCUGGCUCCUCUUCUCUGGCUUUGCUUCCUGGCUGCCAUGACAUGAACAGCUUUACUCCACCAGGCCCUUCCACCAUGCAGGCUUGGAGCUGGCUGUCUGUGGACCGAACCUACUGAAACUGAGGUGAUGGUUUUGCUCCUCCUUGAAGUAUCAGCAGGAGCUCAUGAGGAAGAGAUGGCCAAGGAAGGGCAUUCAGGCAGAGAGAGGCACAUGGUCAAGAUCCUGGUGGAAAAGAAGUGGUGCCUACAAUCCAGAUAAUUUAAGUGUGCUUGAAAAUGAUGAUUCUGCUGGGAAGAGGAACACUCAAGAAUAAAUACUCCUUGUCUCAAUUCACUGGAGUUAGGCAGAGCGGCAAAGGAGAGACCAACGCGAUGACGGGAUUCUGGGGCUUCUGGGCUCAGAGCUCAGGAUCCCAAACAACCUGCAGAUCUCUGGAGAAAGCAACCGCAUGGGAGAGGUGGAGGCUCACAGACCAGAUGGAAGAGGACAAACCUGGCCAGAGGAGAGCCCUUGCUAUCUCCCUUCAUGGUUCUGGUUAAGGACUGCAUCUCUUUAGAGGGACGGGCCACCAGCUCAGAGCACCAUGUGC
Molecule: long non-coding RNA, 598 nt
Filed under: Heterocephalus glaber (naked mole-rat)
Lineage: Eukaryota; Metazoa; Chordata; Mammalia; Rodentia; Bathyergidae
Description: lncRNA (ENSHGLG00100046905.1)
Source: RNAcentral